Molecule: long non-coding RNA, 651 nt
Filed under: Junco hyemalis (dark-eyed junco)
Lineage: Eukaryota; Metazoa; Chordata; Aves; Passeriformes; Passerellidae
Description: lncRNA (ENSJHYG00000005078.1)
Source: RNAcentral
UGAUUUAUAGAUCAAAAUGAAUUCUCUGAUGUAGCUGGCUCUUGAUCCCUUAACUGCUUUGAAAACUUGAAUUAAGGUUUUCGGCUUGUGUAAGAAUGUGCUUGGAUGCCAAUGGAAGCUUUUCAGCAUAAAAUUCAUUUUCUACCCAGCCCAAAGCCCUGGAAGGAGGAAAUCAGUCACAGAGUCACCAUCAGGAUCUAUUGAGAACUAAGAAUUUUGGGCAGUCCCUUCAAGCCGUGAGAUGAUUUACUGGGAAUACCACUUGGAGAAGGAACUGUGGUCACAACCAGAGAAUUCUUGUUAGUCUACUCCCUGGAAAAUCAUAGAUUGGAACAGUGUUUUCAUAUUGAUUUAAAGGAAUUUCUGCAUAAGAGACAUGGACUCUUUGUUAUGUAAUGAAAAAGUGCACAGGUUCAACAGGAAAUUGAACUACUGGGCAGAGAAGUGCUUUCUAAAGCAGAAGGCUGGAUUGCACAGAAGAGCAGGAGAUUUGUUUUAACAGCCCAGCACGUCUCCUUUCAGCCCCACACCUCAGAUGCUCUCAGCUCCCCAGGGAUGAAUCACAAAAAUGAAAGGCAAAUAAUCUGUGGGAAAACAAUGAACUAAAUCAGUACAAAUAAAAGAUAUAAUUCCAGGAAGUUUUUGCUGGUU